Molecule: transfer RNA, 73 nt
Filed under: Canis lupus dingo (dingo)
Lineage: Eukaryota; Metazoa; Chordata; Mammalia; Carnivora; Canidae
Rfam family: tRNA
About the family: Transfer RNA (tRNA) molecules are approximately 80 nucleotides in length. Their secondary structure includes four short double-helical elements and three loops (D, anti-codon, and T loops).
Source: Rfam by way of RNAcentral
GCCUGGCUGGCUCAGUUGGAAGAGCAUGGGACUCUUGAUCUCAUGGUCGUGAGUUUGAGCUUCAUAUGGGGCA